RNAcentral lists this ribosomal RNA (634 nucleotides) under Salmonella enterica subsp. enterica serovar Newport. RNAcentral's name for it is "partial 23S ribosomal RNA". It matches the Rfam family "Bacterial large subunit ribosomal RNA", at positions 1 to 668 of the family's 2925-position model. Lineage: Bacteria; Pseudomonadati; Pseudomonadota; Gammaproteobacteria; Enterobacterales; Enterobacteriaceae. The record is from RNAcentral.
GGGUUGUGAGGUUAAGCGACUAAGCGUACACGGUGGAUGCCCUGGCAGUCAGAGGCGAUGAAGGGCGUGCUAAUCUGCGAUAAGCGCCGGUAAGGUGAUAUGAACCGUUAUAACCGGCGAUACCCGAAUGGGGAAACCCAGUGUGAUUCGUCACACUAUCAUUAACUGAAUCCAUAGGUUAAUGAGGCGAACCGGGGGAACUGAAACAUCUAAGUACCCCGAGGAAAAGAAAUCAACCGAGAUUCCCCCAGUAGCGGCGAGCGAACGGGGAGGAGCCCAGAGCUUGAAUCAGCAUGUGUGUUAGUGGAAGCGUCUGGAAAGGCGCGCGAUACAGGGUGACAGCCCCGUACACAAAAGCGCAUGUGCUGUGAGCUCGAUGAGUAGGGCGGGACACGUGGUAUCCUGUCUGAAUAUGGGGGGACCAUCCUCCAAGGCUAAAUACUCCUGACUGACCGAUAGUGAACCAGUACCGUGAGGGAAAGGCGAAAAGAACCCCGGCGAGGGGAGUGAAAAAGAACCUGAAACCGUGUACGUACAAGCAGUGGGAGCACCCUUUGGGGUGUGACUGCGUACCUUUUGUAUAAUGGGUCAGCGACUUAUAUUCUGUAGCAAGGUUAACCGUAUAGGGGAGCCG